UCCCCCACUGCUACAAGAUGAACUACAUCGACCAUAUUAUCUUUAGGAAGAGCCGGAAAAGGUAUGGCGAGCAUUUGUGCUUCGCCGUCGCUGCUUAUAACCAGGUCACUGAAAGCCUCAAAUA
RNAcentral lists this small nucleolar RNA (124 nucleotides) under Paraphaeosphaeria sporulosa. RNAcentral describes it as "A. fumigatus snoRNA Afu_198". It matches the Rfam family "A. fumigatus snoRNA Afu_198". The record is from Rfam by way of RNAcentral. Lineage: Eukaryota; Fungi; Ascomycota; Dothideomycetes; Pleosporales; Didymosphaeriaceae.